RNAcentral lists this ribosomal RNA (406 nucleotides) under uncultured Fusibacter sp. Its description in RNAcentral is "bacterial SSU rRNA". It matches the Rfam family "Bacterial small subunit ribosomal RNA", at positions 355 to 776 of the family's 1533-position model. The record is from RNAcentral. Lineage: Bacteria; Bacillati; Bacillota; Clostridia; Eubacteriales; Fusibacteraceae.
UGGGGAAUAUUGCACAAUGGGCGCAAGCCUGAUGCAGCAACGCCGCGUGAGUGAUGAAGGCCUUCGGGUUGUAAAACUCUGUCCUAUGGGAAGAAACAAAUGACGGUACCAUGGGAGGAAGCCCCGGCUAACUACGUGCCAGCAGCCGCGGUAAUACGUAGGGGGCAAGCGUUAUCCGGAAUCACUGGGCGUAAAGGGUGCGUAGGUGGCUUAUCAAGCCAGAGGUGAAAGGCAGUGGCUCAACCAUUGUAAGCCUUUGGAACUGAUUAGCUUGAGUGCAGGAGAGGUAAGUGGAAUUCCUAGUGUAGAGGUGAAAUUCGUAGAUAUUAGGAGGAACACCAGUGGCGAAGGCGACUUACUGGACUGUAACUGACACUGAGGCACGAAAGCGUGGGUAGCGAACAGG